This 468-nucleotide ribosomal RNA is filed under the name uncultured bacterium. RNAcentral describes it as "partial 16S ribosomal RNA". It matches the Rfam family "Bacterial small subunit ribosomal RNA", at positions 28 to 507 of the family's 1533-position model. The record is from RNAcentral.
GACGAACGUUGGCGGCGUGCUUAACACAUGCAAGUCGAACGGAAAGGCCCUGCUUUUGUGGGGUGCUCGAGUGGCGAACGGGUGAGUAACACGUGAGUAACCUGCCCUUGACUUUGGGAUAACUUCAGGAAACUGGGGCUAAUACCGGAUAGGAGCUCCUGCAGCAUGGUGGGGGUUGGAAAGUUUCGGCGGUUGGGGAUGGACUCGCGGCUUAUCAGCUUGUUGGUGGGGUAGUGGCUUACCAAGGCUUUGACGGGUAGCCGGCCUGAGAGGGUGACCGGCCACAUUGGGACUGAGAGACGGCCCAGACGCCUACGGGAGGCAGCAGUGGGGAAUAUUGCACAAUGGGCGGAAGCCUGAUGCAGCAACGCCGCGUGCGGGAUGACGGCCUUCGGGUUGUAAACCGCUUUCGCCUGUGACGAAGCGUGAGUGACGGUAAUGGGUAAAGAAGCACCGGCUAACUACGUG